CCUACGGGUGGCCGCAGUGGGGGAUAUUGCACAAUGGGGGGAACCCUGAUGCAGCGACGCCGCGUGGGUGAAGAAGCGCCUCGGCGCGUACAGCCCUGUCAGCAGGGAAGAAAAUGACGGUACCUGAAGAAGAAGCCACGUCUUACUACGUGCCAGCAGCCGCGGUAAGACGUAGGGGGCCAGCGUUAUCCGGAUUUAAUGGGUGUAGAGGGGGCGGAGUGGGCGAUGCAAGCCAGGAGUGAAAGCCCGGGGCCCAACCCCGGGACUGCUCUUGGAACUGGGUGGCUGGAGUGCAGUAGGGGCAGGCGGAAUGCCUGGUGUAGCGGUGAAAUGCGUAGAUAUCAGGAGGAACACCGGUGGCGAAGGCGGCCUGCUGGACUGCAACUGACGUUGAGGCCCGAAAGCGUGGGGAGCAAACAGGAUUAGAUACCCUUGUAGUC
Molecule: ribosomal RNA, 440 nt
Filed under: uncultured bacterium
Lineage: Bacteria
Description: partial 16S ribosomal RNA
Rfam family: Bacterial small subunit ribosomal RNA
Source: RNAcentral